UAAAACCUACGGGGGGCAGCAGUGAGGAAUAUUGGUCAAUGGUCGGGAGACUGAACCAGCCAAGCCGCGUGAGGGAGGAAGGUACAGAGUAUCGUAAACCUCUUUUGUCAGGGAACAAAGGCGGGGACGUGUCCCCGGAUGAGUGUACCUGAAGAAAAAGCAUCGGCUAACUCCGUGCCAGCAGCCGCGGUAAUACGGAGGAUGCGAGCGUUAUCCGGAUUUAUUGGGUUUAAAGGGAGCGUAGACGGUUCUGCAAGUCUGAAGUGAAAGCCCGUGGCUUAACCGCGGAACGGCUUUGGAAACUG
RNAcentral lists this ribosomal RNA (305 nucleotides) under uncultured bacterium. RNAcentral describes it as "bacterial SSU rRNA". It matches the Rfam family "Bacterial small subunit ribosomal RNA", at positions 333 to 635 of the family's 1533-position model. The record is from RNAcentral.